This 429-nucleotide ribosomal RNA is filed under the name Actinomycetes bacterium. Its description in RNAcentral is "Actinobacteria bacterium partial 16S ribosomal RNA". It matches the Rfam family "Bacterial small subunit ribosomal RNA", at positions 355 to 776 of the family's 1533-position model. The record is from RNAcentral. Lineage: Bacteria; Bacillati; Actinomycetota; Actinomycetes.
UAGGGAAUCUUCCGCAAUGGGCGAAAGCCUGACGGAUCAACGCCGCGUGAGUGAUGAAGGUCUUCGGAUCGUAAAACUCUGUUAUUAGGGAAGAACAAAUGUGUAAGUAACUAUGCACGUCUUGACGGUACCUAAUCAGAAAGCCACGGCUAACUACGUGCCAGCAGCCGCGGUAAUACGUAGGUGGCAAGCGUUAUCCGGAAUUAUUGGGCGUAAAGCGCGCGUAGGCGGUUUUUUAAGUCUGAUGUGAAAGCCCACAGCUCAACCGUGGAGGGUCAUUGGAAACUGGAAAACUUGAGUGCAGAAGAGGAAAGUGGAAUUCCAUGUGUAGCGGUGAAAUGCGCAGAGAUAUGGAGGAACACCAGUGGCGAAGGCGACUUUCUGGUCUGUAACUGACGCUGAUGUGCGAAAGCGUGGGGAUCAAACAGG